This is a long non-coding RNA of Piliocolobus tephrosceles (Ugandan red Colobus), 2136 nucleotides long. The record is from Ensembl. NCBI's taxonomy places the organism in Eukaryota, Metazoa, Chordata, Mammalia, Primates, Cercopithecidae.
AUGUCAAUUAAUCCUACAAAAGAUAUGUAUCUUAUGAAAAAUAAUAAUAAUAAUAAUAUCGGUAGAAUUAAGAAAAAACCAUUUCCAAUCAAUACAUUUGUUUGUACUGAUAACGAAAAUACUGACAAUGCCACUACAACUCUUGCCACUACAUCUCUUGUCACUACUUCUCUUCCUACCACUUCUCUAGCUACUACUACCACUACCAAUACUGCUACAACUACUACUACCACUACUAUUACCAACGAUAAUGCAAUUUACUCAAAUGAUAGAAAUAAUAUGAACAGUAAUAUGAACAGUAAUAUGAACAGUAAUAUGAACAGUAAUAUGAACAGUAAUAUGAACAGUAAUAUGAACAGUAAUAUGAACAGUAAUAUGAAUGGCAAUAUGAACGGCAAUAUGAAUAAUAAUAUUAAUAACAUAUUAAUGAAUGAACAAAAUGAAUUAAAAAGACAUACAUAUAAUUCAGUUUUAUCAAAUAAUAUAAAUAAUAGUUUAGAUUAUUUGAAUAAAAAUGUUUUUACAUAUAAUAAUAAUAAUAAUAAUAAUAAUAAUAAUAAUAAUAAUAGUAGUAGUAGUAAUAGUAAAAAUGGUAAUAUAAGUAGUAAUGGCAAUAUAAGUAGUAAUGGCAAUAUAAGUGGUAAUGGAAAUAUAAGUGGUACUGAUGAAGAAAUUUUGAAUAAUAUAAAAAAAAAUUAUAUUAAACAUAAUUAUAAUGAAAAUAAUAGUAAUAAUAAUUUUAAUACUUUUAUAAAUAUGAAUUAUAAUGGUAAUAACACUGGUAAUAAAUAUAGCAAUUCUAAUUAUUGUAGUAGUAAUUAUAGUAGUAAUAAUUAUAGUAGUAAUAAUUAUAGUAGUAAUAAUUAUAGUAGUAAUAAUUAUAGUAGUAAUAAUUAUAGUAAUAGUCACAAUAUUAAUUGUAACACCAACAGUUGCACUGAUAUUAAUUGUAGUGAUUAUGAUUUAUCUAUAUAUACUAAUGGAAAUAUCAGUAAUAACGAUAAUAAAAAUGAAAAUUAUAAAAAAAAUAGUAACGAUACUAUAAAUAACUGUACAACUAAACGCUUGGAAGUUAUAAAAGAUAAUAGCAACUUAUUUACACAUAACAUUAACAACAACCACAAUAACAACAACUACAACAUCAACAACCACAACAACAACCACAACAACAACCAUAACAACAACCAUAACAACAACCAUAACAACAACCAUAACAACAACCANNNNNNNNNNAACCAUAACAACAACCAUAACAACAACCACAACCGCAACCACAAAAAUAACUACGAUUAUUUAUAUGAUGAUAAAUACAUAAAUCAUGAAGAAUUAACAAAUUUUAUUAACAUUGAUUUUAUUAAUGACAUAGAUAAAGAAUAUGAUGAAAAAAAUAUUAAACUUGAUCAUACACUUGAUCAUACACUUGAUCAUACACUUGAUCAUACGAACGAACAUAAUGGACAAACACCUAUUCAUAUAAAUAAUUUAAUUAAAACACAAAAUAAUUUAGACAUAUUAACACCUUAUAAUAAAUACAUAAAUGAAAGUUUAUUAAUUAAUAAUACAAGUUACUUAGAAAAUCACAGCAUCAAUAAUAACAAUAUUGGUAAUAGUAUUAGCAACAGUAUUAGUAACAAUAUUGGUAAUAGUAUUAGUAACAGUAUUAGUAACAAUAUUGGUAAUAGUAUUAGUAACAGUAUUAAUAACAGUAUUAAUAACAGUAUUAAUAACAGUAUUANNNNNNNNNNUAACAGUAUUAAUAACAGUAUUAAUAACAGUAUUAAUAACAGUAUUAGUAACAGUAUUAAUAACAGUAUUAGUAACAGUAUUGGUAAUAAUAUCAGUAGUAACAUUACCAAUAACAUUACUAGUAACAUGAACAGUAACAACCAAGGCAAAUUAAACAAUAUGUUUGAAGGAUUUGAAGAAUAUAACAAUAUUAAUUUUAAUAGAAUACUUGAUAAUUUUGAAAAUAAAACAAGUUACAUGUUAAACGACACCAAGGAUAACGAAACAAAUGUUAAAGUAAAUUUUAGUGAAAAUGAUUAUAACACAUAUGUUAAUGUACAUAAAAACAAAGGAAGUACUUGCGAUGUUAGAGAGAUGGGUAUAGUAGGAGUUGCAGAGUUAGUUGAAUAA